Molecule: ribosomal RNA, 370 nt
Filed under: uncultured organism
Description: bacterial SSU rRNA
Rfam family: Bacterial small subunit ribosomal RNA
Source: RNAcentral
CGUAGGGUGCGAGCGUUAAUCGGAAUUACUGGGCGUAAAGCGUGCGCAGGCGGUUAUAUAAGACAGAUGCGAAAUCCCCGGGCUCAACCUGGGAACUGCAUUUGUGACUGUAUAGCUAGAGUACGGCAGGGGGGGAUGGAAUUCCGCGUGUAGCAGUGAAAUGCGUAGAUAUGCGGAGGAACACCGAUGGCGAAGGCAAUCCCCUGGGCCUGUACUGACGCUCAUGCACGAAAGCGUGGGGAGCAAACAGGAUUAGAUACCCUGGUAGUCCACGCCCUAAACGAUGUCAACUGGUUGUUGGGUCUUCACUGACUCAGUAACGAAGCUAACGCGUGAAGUUGACCGCCUGGGGAGUACGGCCGCAAGGUUG